GAACGCUGGCGGCAGGCCUAACACAUGCAAGUCGAGCGGAUGAAAGGAGCUUGCUCCUGGAUUCAGCGGCGGACGGGUGAGUAAUGCCUAGGAAUCUGCCUGGUAGUGGGGGACAACGUUUCGAAAGGAACGCUAAUACCGCAUACGUCCUACGGGAGAAAGCAGGGGACCUUCGGGCCUUGCGCUAUCAGAUGAGCCUAGGUCGGAUUAGCUAGUUGGUGAGGUAAUGGCUCACCAAGGCGACGAUCCGUAACUGGUCUGAGAGGAUGAUCAGUCACACUGGAACUGAGACACGGUCCAGACUCCUACGGGAGGCAGCAGUGGGGAAUAUUGGACAAUGGGCGAAAGCCUGAUCCAGCCAUGCCGCGUGUGUGAAGAAGGUCUUCGGAUUGUAAAGCACUUUAAGUUGGGAGGAAGGGUUGUAGAUUAAUACUCUGCAAUUUUGACGUUACCGACAGAAUAAGCACCGGCUAACUCUGUGCCAGCAGCCGCGGUAAUACAGAGGGUGCAAGCGUUAAUCGGAAUUACUGGGCGUAAAGCGCGCGUAGGUGGUUUGUUAAGUUGGAUGUGAAAUCCCCGGGCUCAACCUGGGAACUGCAU
This 600-nucleotide ribosomal RNA is filed under the name Pseudomonas sp. R24. Its description in RNAcentral is "bacterial SSU rRNA". It matches the Rfam family "Bacterial small subunit ribosomal RNA", at positions 31 to 626 of the family's 1533-position model. The record is from RNAcentral. Lineage: Bacteria; Pseudomonadati; Pseudomonadota; Gammaproteobacteria; Pseudomonadales; Pseudomonadaceae.